CCGUCGCACCUACCGAUUGAAUGUUUCGGUGAAGAUUCCGGACUGUGGCUCGCGUGCUUCACGGCGCUCCUGCCGUGGGAAGUUAUCUAAACCUCAACAUUUAGAGGAAGGUGAAGUCGUAACAAGGUUUCCGUAGGUGAACCUGCGGAAGGAUCAUU
This 158-nucleotide ribosomal RNA is filed under the name Ecklonia cava. RNAcentral's name for it is "partial 18S ribosomal RNA". It matches the Rfam family "Eukaryotic small subunit ribosomal RNA", at positions 1673 to 1830 of the family's 1831-position model. Lineage: Eukaryota; Phaeophyceae; Laminariales; Lessoniaceae. The record is from RNAcentral.